UGGGGAAUAUUGCACAAUGGAGGGAACUCUGAUGCAGCGACGCCGCGUGAACGAAGAAGGCUUUCGAGUCGUAAAGUUCUUUUAUAUGGGAAGAUAAUGACGGUACCAUAAGAAGAAGCCCCGGCUAACUACGUGCCAGCAGCCGCGGUAAUACGUAGGGGGCUAGCGUUGUCCGGAAUCACUGGGCGUAAAGGAUUCGCAGGCGGAAAUGCAAGUCAGGUGUAAAAGGCAGUAGCUUAACUACUGUAAGCAUUUGAAACUGCAUAUCUUGAGAAGAGUAGAGGUAAGUGGAAUUUUUAGUGUAGCGGUGAAAUGCGUAGAUAUUAAAAAGAAUACCGGUGGCGAAGGCGACUUACUGGGCUCAUUCUGACGCUGAGGAACGAAAGCGUACGUAGCAAACAGG
Molecule: ribosomal RNA, 403 nt
Filed under: bacterium
Lineage: Bacteria
Description: partial 16S ribosomal RNA
Rfam family: Bacterial small subunit ribosomal RNA
Source: RNAcentral